This is a long non-coding RNA of Brachypodium distachyon (stiff brome), 1837 nucleotides long. RefSeq lists it as uncharacterized. Lineage: Eukaryota; Viridiplantae; Streptophyta; Magnoliopsida; Poales; Poaceae. The record is from RefSeq and is a predicted model, not a curated record. The transcript is spliced from 3 exons.
GCAAAGAGCGCGAACAGGAGGAGGAUGGCCUUCGACGACGACGCCAUGGAUAUCGAUCGGUCAGGAGAAUGGCAAAUCAAGAAGAGAUGCAGGAAAGAUAUCUCCUGAGGUACUGUGUGGAAUUAUUUGCUGGUGGCCAGAGACAUAUAAAGAGCUGACACACACGGCUGCUCGAUCGUAGCCGCAGACGGUGCAACAUAUAGCAGACGCAUAUCCCGGGAUUGGAGCAUGGAAUUCAUCUCCUUCCCAGCUCCUGUCCGUCCUCUCCAGCGAAAAUUAAGGAUGCGGUGAUCUUAAUUUGAUCGGCAUGGACGGGACUCCCCAGAUCAUACAUACCUUUCUAAAUUGCUCUUUCCUCUUAUCAUAGCAUCUUUUUUAUGGUAAUUGUCUUCGCUUCAUUUGAUCGGCAUGGACCGUAGUUUGUCUUCCGGAGCCAAAAUAUCUAGGGUACUAGUUUCCGUUUUGCUAUACACCAGGCGCCUGGUGUUUUUUUAAAAAAAACAGGCAAUUUUUGGACCGUGCGAUCGUUGCGCCAAGAUCCGUAAAAUUCUGGUUGUGUUUUCAUUCUUUUUUCUUUUUUGCUCGAUAGCUUCCUUCUGCAUUUCUCAGUCCGCCUCCCGUGACCCCGUCCCAACCACUCCUUCCUGGUGCCUCACUCCGGCGCUGCACCGGCCGCCGCCGUCGCCUCUGCUGCUCCAUCCUCCGUCUCUUCUGCUGUGCCGCACUGACGCGGGCUCGUUGCCGCCGCCGACUCUGCUGCGCCAUCCCCCGUCCCUGCUGCUGUGCCCGGUAAGCUGGUGCUCCACUUGUGGCCGUGUUCUUCGUCGGCCGUUUCUGUGCACUUUGCUCGCGUUUCACGGUGCUUUCUGCUGUUGGACAGAGGAGAGGUCAGGGGAGUUCGUUAGCGGCAGCUCCUCGUGGUUGGUGGAAGGAGGAUGUGGUGAGGUAUUGGCUGCAGAAGCUGUUGUUCGUUUCUCUUCAGUCACCUAUCAUCUGGUUCAUGGCGGGGCAUGGUGAGUUUUUGCCUUGCUCGUACCCUUGUUCGAUGUAUGGGCCUCAUCGAUUUUGGAGUGUAUGUGUUGAUUGGCGUCAUGAACUAUAGCUUGUGUUGGCUGUAGAUGGCAAGGGCUGUGAUGCGCCUGGUCAGAUGGAUUUGUACACUUACUCCACUCGUUUCUGAUAUGAUUUGUGUUUGUUUUGGUCGUGGCGGGGGUUGUAAUGUAUCCUGACUUUUCAUAUUCAGAUUUCUUAGUGGAGAUUUGAUUUUUGUGUCCAUUGUGUUGUUCAUGAUAUGUUGUGGAUCUGUCACUGUGCUUGCAAUGGUUUUUAGGUAGUGUUCAUUUGUUCCCUUAUGUGCUGUGAAACCAUUUAGGGGUAGUGGAUCUGUCUCUGUACCACCAUUUAGUUGCCCUAGCUGUUCAUUUUUUCUUGAAAAUGCUUUUAGGUACUGCCAAUCUGUUCACCAGGGAAUGCUCGUUUUGUUAUAUCUGAAGUGAUUUAGCUCCGGCAGUUGGUUUAUAUGGGGGUUUCAUGAUUUAAUUUAAUUUAUUUUUAUUCCUUUAAUGCUUGUUAUCAGGGAUGACUGUAGCAUAUUCUGCAUGAAGUUUAUGGAGUUGUUCAGUCGUCAAGUGCUGCUGCACGACAAGAUUUCUCAUAGGAACAUUUUCAAUUUUCGCGUCAAAAUUGCGAAUGGCAUGCUCAUUUCUUCAACUUAGUCCAUAAUGUAAAGGAAAUGGUUCUUCAGUUGUCUCAAUAGUUACUACUUUCUUAUCUGGAGUCUGGUGUCUUUUUUUGCUUGUGCUUGAUUAUUCUAUCAUCUAGAAACUGUUUAUUAUUC